Molecule: long non-coding RNA, 691 nt
Filed under: Mytilus galloprovincialis (Mediterranean mussel)
Lineage: Eukaryota; Metazoa; Mollusca; Bivalvia; Mytilida; Mytilidae
Source: RNAcentral
GUAAAUUGGUGAUUAUAAAUAUGAUAAAACAUGAAAUGCAAUUUCUGCUCAAAUAUUUUAAACCGAAUACGAAAAUCGAAGCCUAUUCUACUAUGUGUGACAUUUUUUGUAUAUAAAUAUAUAUUUUGCAUGGUCAGGUCAGUUCAAUGACCUCUUUGAUACUGAUUGAAUAAUAAUAUGUACACUGCUCGCAACUCCCUACAUGUAAUUUCUGUUGUGUAUAUAUUCAUGUAUAUCAUCUAAUUGUAACAAGACAUGUUGUAUCAACAGGUUCAUAUUAUAAACAAAUAUUUACUCACCAUAUCUUUGAUAUUAAUCCUUAUUGGGAAUCAAAAUCAUUAAUCCAUUUUUUUAUGAAUGAACUACACAUCCCUUUAACAAAUCGCACGUGGUAAAUGAUCACUCGACCAGAAAUUUAAUGUAAUCGAAAUUAACAUAACAAAAGACUUGAUGUACGAUAAAAUUGAAACUGCUUAAUAAAUACAGGUAGCCUUUGUGAGAAAUAAAUGAAGAUAAAAAACAAACUUUAUUCAAAUAAUUAUAUAUGGUGAGAUGUAUAGAUAUAUAGAUCGAUAUUGAUUGCAGGUACAUGUACAUUUGUACAAGGAUAGAUAAUAUUUAUAAAGGUUGAUGAUAAUAAUUUAUAGUGGGAGUUUUUUUUUCUCAUUUGCUUUUCCCCGACAAAUGAGAC